RNAcentral lists this ribosomal RNA (252 nucleotides) under uncultured bacterium. RNAcentral's name for it is "partial 16S ribosomal RNA". It matches the Rfam family "Bacterial small subunit ribosomal RNA", at positions 524 to 776 of the family's 1533-position model. The record is from RNAcentral.
UACGAGGGGGCAAGCGUUGUUCGGAAUUAUUGGGCGUAAAGGGUUCGUAGGCGGUGUGGCAAGUCGGGAGUGAAAUCUCUGGGCUCAACUCAGAGACUGCUUCCGAAACUGCUGUGCUGGAGUGUGGGAGAGGCGCGUGGAAUUGCAGGUGUAGCGGUGAAAUGCGUAGAUAUCUGCAGGAACACCCGUGGCGAAAGCGGCGCGCUGGACCACUACUGACGCUGAGGAACGAAAGCUAGGGGAGCAAACAGG